AGUGAACGCUGGCGGUAGGCCUAACUCAUGCAAGUCGAACGGCAGCACAGUAAGAGCUUGCUCUUACGGGUGGCGAGUGGCGGACGGGUGAGGAAUACAUCGGAAUCUACUUUUUCGUGGGGGAUAACGUAGGGAAACUUACGCUAAUACCGCAUACGGCCUACGGGUGAAAGCAGGGGAUCUUCGGACCUUGCGCGAUUGAAUGAGCCGAUGUCGGAUUAGCUAGUUGGCGGGGUAAAGGCCCACCAAGGCGACGAUCCGUAGCUGGUCUGAGAGGAUGAUCAGCCACACUGGAACUGAGACACGGUCCAGACUCCUACGGGAGGCAGCAGUGGGGAAUAUUGGACAAUGGGCGCAAGCCUGAUCCAGCCAUACCGCGUGGGUGAAGAAGGCCUUCGGGUUGUAAAGCCCUUUUGUUGGGAAAGAAAAGCAGCAGGUUAAUACCCCGCUGUUCUGACGGUACCCAAAGAAUAAGCACCGGCUAACUUCGUG
Molecule: ribosomal RNA, 492 nt
Filed under: uncultured bacterium
Lineage: Bacteria
Description: partial 16S ribosomal RNA
Rfam family: Bacterial small subunit ribosomal RNA
Source: RNAcentral